UACGUAGGGUGCGAGCGUUGUCCGGAAUUACUGGGCGUAAAGAGCUCGUAGGUGGUUUGUCGCGUUGUUCGUGAAAACCGGGGGCUUAACCCUCGGCGUGCGGGCGAUACGGGCAGACUUGAGUACUGCAGGGGAGACUGGAAUUCCUGGUGUAGCGGUGGAAUGCGCAGAUAUCAGGAGGAACACCGGUGGCGAAGGCGGGACUCUGGGCCGAUACUGACGCUGAGGAGCGAAAGCGUGGGGAGCAAACAGG
Molecule: ribosomal RNA, 253 nt
Filed under: uncultured bacterium
Lineage: Bacteria
Description: partial 16S ribosomal RNA
Rfam family: Bacterial small subunit ribosomal RNA
Source: RNAcentral